UGGGAAGCGGAGGGGACGCGGGUGGUGGGGAGGAGCACGGAGCUCCGCCGCCGCUCGGCACCUCCCGCAUCAGCGGGGCGAUUUCAAAAUCAACUGUUAAAAUUUUAAACGUAGCUUGAGUGUGCAUAAUCUGUUUUUCAGUAAUCACAAGGACUCCAAACAGCUUUGCUUCUGCAGAGCCAGGGCUCAGGAGGAGCCUACAACUUCCCUGCAUAUUUGAAAUGAGAAAAACCGUUCCCGUGUCCAAUGAAACAGAGACCGUGCUGCUGAACGUCAAGCUGCUGCUGCCUGUGACUGGAGCAGAAGGUGCUCAAAAGCCUUGGACAGAAAGCCUUCCUGCAGACAGCCUGCCCUCGUUCAUUGUACAAGAGCCCUCGGUGAAUAUUCUGCAGCACACAGAUGAGGAUAUCAACAUGCUUGACUGCAGGAUCAGCCCUUACUUUACAGCCAACACUCAGAUCCUCUGGCCUGGGAGGGAGGUUCGAGCCUACAGCCUGGACACCUGGUUCACUUGCACCAUAAAGCACACAGCUGGGAAAUACACAGCUACAGCCUUCCUUGUGCAAAGCCACGAGGACAGAGAGCACCAAACUCCAGGACAGCUUCAUCAGGGCAUCGCAGAGCAGACACGCGUGUCAGGUAAUGCUUCUCUGGGGAACAUCAUACAUUCCUAAUGAAGGAAGGGGGUGGGGAAGGGGGGGUUGGAGCACAACUAUCAGACCUGCAGGCUAUGAAGGUAAUUAGCAAGCAACUACCACUGAGCUGUUUCAGCUGUGUCCCAAACUGCACCCCAAGCAGCAAGCCAGAGUCAUUUACAUAGGGAUUAUGUAGAGGGAAACCACCUGUUCCUCUCCAGCUACGCUGGGGUGCUAUGAACUCCCAGCCUGGCUUUCUGUGUCCCACCAGUUGUUGCUUAAUGUCACCACCCAGACACUUCUCUUCUGGGCUUACAGACCUCAGACUAUUUUUUACCAGCCCCAUAAGUUUACAGAUAGCUCAACAUAAUAUUUUAGCAACUGUAAGGCAAAAUGCAUUUACUGAAAAGCAUAUGCUUUCCCUUGUGUUAAGAGCUGUGCACACAUUGCAGAAAUGAAUAACUUCAAAGCAGCUUUUCAAAAGCAUAACUGUUUUCUGUUUACAUAGUUCUAUACCAUCGUCUCUAAGAGCCCUAACAGCAAAUACAGAAGCCACCAAGGCUUUAACACAGACACAAGUUAAGGCUGAUCUGAGCUUUUCAGCAGGCAGAGCACUUCCACAGUGUUUGCACUGGAAGCACAACCCACAGCGUGAGCUGCUUGCUGAGCUGAGGGAGAAGGCUCCAGAGAAGGAGCAGAAAGCAAUUGGUAUCUGCCAGAGGGCUGCAGCCUCAUCCGGACAACAAAAGGCGCUCCGGGUCCAGCCUGCAGACUGUCGUUACUGAACCGCACCCUGCCAGGGCUCGCCCUUAGCUGAGCACAGAUAAGCGGCUGCAGCGUUUAAAAAUAGGGAGACCGGGACUCCACAGUCUAACAGUGGGGACACACCACGAGGCACCGCAGCAGAGGGCAGCACUGCCUGCUGAAGGGAGCCAAGAACACAGCACAAGCACUCACACCCCCAGAUGCUCCCCUCACCCCACGUCGCCCCUCCCCCUUAGGAAAAAAUAAGUUUUCAUUUUUUACUCACCCCAUCAUA
Long non-coding RNA from Chrysolophus pictus (golden pheasant), 1674 nucleotides. Lineage: Eukaryota; Metazoa; Chordata; Aves; Galliformes; Phasianidae. The record is from Ensembl.